UACGAAGGGGGCAAGCGUUGUUCGGAAUGACUGGGCGUAAAGGGCGCGUAGGCGGUCCGUUGCGUCGGGCGUGAAAGCCCCGGGCUCAACCCGGGAAUGGCGCUCGAUACGGGCGGGCUUUGAGUCCGGAAGAGGGUGGUGGAAUUCCCAGUGUAGAGGUGAAAUUCGUAGAUAUUGGGAAGAACACCGGUGGCGAAGGCGGCCACCUGGUCCGGCACUGACGCUGAGGCGCGAAAGCGUGGGGAGCAAACAGG
This 254-nucleotide ribosomal RNA is filed under the name uncultured bacterium. RNAcentral describes it as "partial 16S ribosomal RNA". It matches the Rfam family "Bacterial small subunit ribosomal RNA", at positions 524 to 776 of the family's 1533-position model. The record is from RNAcentral.